Homo sapiens (human) is the source of this 1253-nucleotide long non-coding RNA. Lineage: Eukaryota; Metazoa; Chordata; Mammalia; Primates; Hominidae. The record is from Ensembl.
CCUGUAGCCGGGCCGGCUUGGGGCUUGGUUCUAUGUCCCUGCGGGUCGGUGCAAGGGCGAAGAGGAACCCGUGGGCCUCAGGGGAUCCCGGGGGGCCGGACCAGUGUUCCCUAGUUGUGGGAGCAGACGCGUGGGCACAUUGCGGGCGGGCAGGGCCUGAAGUGCAGGUGCGGGCAGUGGACCCUGGCGGGGGCUGGGAGGACAGGCGUGGGGUCCCGGCAGUGAAACGGGUUCUAGAGGCGCAGGAGCAGGUAGGAGAGGCCGGUGGCCCUGGGCCCGGAGUCUGCAGGCCGCGCUCCUGUCCUGCCGCUGAGGGACCCGGUUACCAACCUGCAUGACGCUCAGUUUGCCCAUCUGUCCCAGUGGUAACACACAGUUCUCGGGAGACGUUCCCCAUUCCCAGAGGAGUAGUGUGAAACGCGUGCGCCUCUAGUCUUAAACUUGGCGUUUGUAUUAGUUGGGUUUCCUGGUGUCUCUUUAGCAAGUGAAGUUUCUGGUUCCCUCCUUCACUGUGUGACCUGCCUAGUCCUCCUGGGUCGCAUUUACAGAAGUUUAUACGAGACCUAGUUUCCAGGGAAGAACUCACUGAUUCCGCGAGGGAGAUGGCUUAAUGGAUGAUGGUCGUCAGCCUUAAGGAUACUUCAGUCUUAACUGUGUGUUACAAAGUUUGAAAGGGAGGGUUCCCUAUGAAUAAGAAGCACACUUGAAAGAACAGCCAUCUGGUCUAACCUCUCACUGGUGCUUCAGAGGAGGAAAAAAGGUCACAGGUGAAGAUCCCAGUUUUCCUUGCUCAGGAAAUAUUAAUUCUACUCCCUAGAAUGCACAAGAUUUGCAAAGACUAGGUGAUAGUAGAAGGUUUGGACGAACUUUCAGAAGGUUGAGGUGAAUUCAGCUAAGAAGAACAGGCAAGGACUUAGGAAAUAUUCCUUAUUUGAAGGGGCCUGAAAGUGUGGUCUGGGGUACAGCAGUGACCUGUCAUACUUGAGAGGAUUAAAAUACUCUCCAAACACAGUCCCAUUCCUUCAACCUUAGCUCGUUUUUUCCAGCGUCUGAGAUACAUUAAACCUAGUCCAUCCCCAAAUUUAACAUUAGAUUGCGAAGUUCUAUUGAUUGUAUUUGAUUUGUAAUUUAACAUUUUCUCCCCCUACGUAAUUUUGUUAAAAACACAGAAGUGAAUUCUGUUCACUUAGGUGUAACAGUUAAUACUUGCUGUUUAAGGAACUAAUUAAACCUUACUGGCUUAUAAAAAACAA